RNAcentral lists this ribosomal RNA (539 nucleotides) under Streptomyces sp. RNAcentral's name for it is "bacterial SSU rRNA". It matches the Rfam family "Bacterial small subunit ribosomal RNA", at positions 340 to 889 of the family's 1533-position model. The record is from RNAcentral. Lineage: Bacteria; Bacillati; Actinomycetota; Actinomycetes; Kitasatosporales; Streptomycetaceae.
UACGGGAGGCAGCAGUGGGGAAUAUUGCACAAUGGGCGCAAGCCUGAUGCAGCGACGCCGCGUGAGGGAUGACGGCCUUCGGGUUGUAAACCUCUUUCAGCAGGGAAGAAGCGAAAGUGACGGUACCUGCAGAAGAAGCGCCGGCUAACUACGUGCCAGCAGCCGCGGUAAUACGUAGGGCGCAAGCGUUGUCCGGAAUUAUUGGGCGUAAAGAGCUCGUAGGCGGCUUGUCGCGUCGGAUGUGAAAGCCCGGGGCUUAACCCCGGGUCUGCAUUCGAUACGGGCAGGCUAGAGUUCGGUAGGGGAGAUCGGAAUUCCUGGUGUAGCGGUGAAAUGCGCAGAUAUCAGGAGGAACACCGGUGGCGAAGGCGGAUCUCUGGGCCGAUACUGACGCUGAGGAGCGAAAGCGUGGGGAGCGAACAGGAUUAGAUACCCUGGUAGUCCACGCCGUAAACGGUGGGCACUAGGUGUGGGCAACAUUCCACGUUGUCCGUGCCGCAGCUAACGCAUUAAGUGCCCCGCCUGGGGAGUACGGCCGC